AGGGAGAAGGAGAAGUUUUAACCAUCUUCCCAUGGCAUCUGACUUUUUUGAGGAGGAGAAUGCAGCCAAGAGCAGAAGCAGUGAGGUCCACGAUGGUAAAAAUGAAUCCAGCAGUCCAUCCUAUCCUGUACCUGCCUGAGUACAGGAAGAGACCUCAUACAAAGCCAGAAUGCCUCUGGGCUUGCAGCUCUUUUUAACCAUAUUAAGUCCUAUUCAGAGUUAAUGAUGAGCUCAGUGAGACUGGUCUAAGCAAUGCUGAAGAAGGGAAGAACAGAGUUGGAAGGCAGGGUCUAUUUCAAAGCAGGAUUUUUCUUCUUUCCAUAACACCCGAACAUGAAGACUCUAUAAACUUCAUUAGAUCCUGCCAUCAAUGACUGAGCCUCCUUGAAAUCUUCUUAUCAGUUACUGCCAAGAUGAGAAGGAUAACAGGAAGGAGGAGUGCUUAAGUGGUUUUAAUGACGGUUAAUUUCAUCUAUUUAUCAAAUGACAGGUUGUUUUUUCCUCAAAACUCAAUUGUCAUGACAAGAUGCUUUUGGAAGUCAUCUUUGUAAAAUAAAACUGACAAUUUUUAGGCUACAAAGAGCUAUUGUAUCUUUCUAUACAAUGUUGUCAUUAUGGUAAACCACUGGAAGGUCUUUAUUUUUGAAGUAAUUUAACUUGCAUACUUCAUUAAUUUAUUUGAAUGUCUGUUGAAUGCCAUGUGAAAAGUUUCUUGCCAGAGUUCUUUUAUUCAAUGGAAUAGUUAUUCUUACAAUGCUCAAUUUAUUAUUGUCUAAAUUACUGUUGCUUUAGCCUCCUGUAAAAAUGUUUCUUUUUAGUAAUUCUUAAAUAAGGAAUGAAUGAGGUUUUGUCCCCUUCGUGUUUUGAUCGGUGUAUUUUUUCCUUUCAGUGAAAGCUUCUUCAGUUUUCAGAAUUACACUGUUGCAAAGAAAGGUGC
Molecule: long non-coding RNA, 937 nt
Organism: Pygoscelis adeliae (Adelie penguin)
Lineage: Eukaryota; Metazoa; Chordata; Aves; Sphenisciformes; Spheniscidae
Exons: 4
Source: RefSeq, a predicted model, not a curated record